Molecule: long non-coding RNA, 410 nt
Organism: Jaculus jaculus (lesser Egyptian jerboa)
Lineage: Eukaryota; Metazoa; Chordata; Mammalia; Rodentia; Dipodidae
Exons: 4
Source: RefSeq, a predicted model, not a curated record
GUACCUGAGGUCCAUCUUGAAUUCCUGAAGUGUGUUGUGUCGUGUGGCUUUUGUUUUGUUGGCUUGUGGCUUUCUCUCUCUCUGCUUGGACCUGUGAAAGCAGACCAGCUUCUUCUGCAGUUUGAAGGAGAUGCCUGACAGGUACAAAAGUCUCUCCUGUAGAGUGUGUCUUCCUGAGGGCAAGGAUCUAAUCUUACUACCUCUGUAUCCAUCACCAGUGCAUACUUCAGUGUGUGACACAUCACAAGCACUUGGAUAGGCCCAUCUCGACAGAGGCUGUGAGUGGUGGCUGGCCAGCCUCAGUUAAGGGUGAGCACCCACAGUUGGUCUAUGAACUGGAAGUUUCCACUGCUCAGAAGGUAGCGAGACUGGAGGAGAUAAACCACCCCAUUGCACUUCAGCCAAGCCAC